ACGAACGCUGGCGGCGUGCCUAAUACAUGCAAGUCGAGCGGAAUGAUGAAGAAGCUUGCUUCUUCUGAUUUUAGCGGCGGACGGGUGAGUAACACGUGGGCAACCUACCUUGUAGAUUGGGAUAACUCCGGGAAACCGGGGCUAAUACCGAAUAAUCCAUUUUGCUUCAUGGCGAGAUGUUGAAAGACGGUUUCGGCUGUCACUACAAGAUGGGCCCGCGGCGCAUUAGCUAGUUGGUAGGGUAAUGGCCUACCAAGGCGACGAUGCGUAGCCGACCUGAGAGGGUGAUCGGCCACACUGGGACUGAGACACGGCCCAGACUCCUACGGGAGGCAGCAGUAGGGAAUCUUCCACAAUGGACGAAAGUCUGAUGGAGCAACGCCGCGAGAGUGAAGAAGGUUUUCGGAUCGUAAAACUCUGUUGUAAGGGAAGAACACGUACGAGAGUAACUGCUCGUACCUUGACGGUACCUUAUUAGAAAGCCACGGCUAACUACGUG
This 499-nucleotide ribosomal RNA is filed under the name uncultured bacterium. Its description in RNAcentral is "bacterial SSU rRNA". It matches the Rfam family "Bacterial small subunit ribosomal RNA", at positions 29 to 507 of the family's 1533-position model. The record is from RNAcentral.